Molecule: small nuclear RNA, 105 nt
Organism: Ochotona princeps (American pika)
Lineage: Eukaryota; Metazoa; Chordata; Mammalia; Lagomorpha; Ochotonidae
Source: Ensembl
GUGCUUGCUUCAGCAGCACAUAUACUAAAACUGGAAUGAUAGAGUGGGUUAGCAUGGACCCUGCACAAGAAUGACACACAAAUUCUUAAAGCAUUCCAUAUUUAA